This 440-nucleotide ribosomal RNA is filed under the name uncultured bacterium. RNAcentral's name for it is "partial 16S ribosomal RNA". It matches the Rfam family "Bacterial small subunit ribosomal RNA", at positions 338 to 795 of the family's 1533-position model. The record is from RNAcentral.
CCUACGGGCGGCAGCAGUAGGGAAUAUUGCUCAAUGGGGGAAACCCUGAAGCAGCAACGCCGCGUGGGGGAUGAAGGUUUUCGGAUUGUAAACUCCUUUUGUUAGAGAAGAUAAUGACGGUAUCUAACGAAUAAGCACCGGCUAACUCCGUGCCAGCAGCCGCGGUAAUACGUAGGGUGCAAGCGUUACUCGGAAUCACUGGGCGUAAAGAGCGCGUAGGCGGGAUAGCAAGUCAGAUGUGAAAUCCUAGGGCUGAACCAUAGAACUGCAUUUGAAACUGUUAUUCUAGAGUAUGGGAGAGGUAGGUGGAAUUCUUGGUGUAGGGGUAAAAUCCGUAGAGAUCAAGAGGAAUACUCAUUGCGAAGGCGACCUGCUAGAACAUAACUGACGCUGAUGCGCGAAAGCGUGGGGAGCAAACAGGAUUAGAUACCCUUGUAGUC